GAUGAACGCUAGCGGCAGGCCUAACACAUGCAAGUCGAGGGGUAACAUGAGGUGCUUGCACUUUGAUGACGACCGGCGCACGGGUGCGCAACGCGUAUGGAACCUGCCCUUUACAGGGGAAUAGCCUUUGGAAACGAAGAUUAAUGCCCCAUAGUACCUUCUGUAGCAUUGCAGGAUGGUUAAAGGCUUCGGCCGGUAAAGGAUGGCCAUGCGUACCAUUAGUUAGUUGGUAAGGUAACGGCUUACCAAGACCGCGAUGGUUAGGGGCCCUGAGAGGGGGAUCCCCCACACUGGUACUGAGACACGGACCAGACUCCUACGGGAGGCAGCAGUGAGGAAUAUUGGACAAUGGAGGAGACUCUGAUCCAGCCAUGCCGCGUGCAGGAAGAAUGCCCUAUGGGUAGUAAACUGCUUUUAUACGGGAAGAAACCCACCUACGUGUAGGUGGCUGACGGUACCGUAAGAAUAAGGACCGGCUAACUCCG
This 485-nucleotide ribosomal RNA is filed under the name uncultured Flavobacteriaceae bacterium. RNAcentral describes it as "bacterial SSU rRNA". It matches the Rfam family "Bacterial small subunit ribosomal RNA", at positions 28 to 505 of the family's 1533-position model. The record is from RNAcentral. Lineage: Bacteria; Pseudomonadati; Bacteroidota; Flavobacteriia; Flavobacteriales; Flavobacteriaceae.